CGGGUGCAAACGUUGUUCGGAAUUACUGGGCGUAAAGCGCGUGUAGGCGGCUAAGUAAGUCGGGCGUGAAAUCCCACGGCUCAACCGUGGAAGUGCACUCGAAACUGCGUAGCUAGAGUCCUGGAGAGGAAGGUGGAAUGCUUGGUGUAGAGGUGAAAUUCGUAGAUAUCAAGCGGAACACCGGUGGCGAAGGCGGCCUUCGGGACAGUGACUGACGCUGAGACGCGAAAGCGUGGGGAGCAAACAGG
This 248-nucleotide ribosomal RNA is filed under the name uncultured bacterium. Its description in RNAcentral is "partial 16S ribosomal RNA". It matches the Rfam family "Bacterial small subunit ribosomal RNA", at positions 529 to 776 of the family's 1533-position model. The record is from RNAcentral.